ACAAGCGGUGGAGCAUGUGGUUUAAUUCGAUGCAACGCGAAGAACCUUUACCGUGGUCUUGACAUCCACGGAAGUUUUCAGAGAUGAGAAUGUGCCUUCGGGAACCGUGAGACAGGUGCUGCAUGGCUGUCGUCAGCUCGUGUUGUGAAAUGUUGGGUUAAGUCCCGCAACGAGCGCAACCCUUAUCCUUUGUUGCCAGCGGUCCGGCCGGGAACUCAAAGGAGACUGCCAGUGAUAAACUGGAGGAAGGUGGGAUGACGUCAAGUCAUCAUGGCCCUUACGACCAGGGCUACACACGUGCUACAAUGGCGCAUACAAAGAGAAGCGACCUCGCGAGAGCAAGCGGACCUCAUAAAGUGCGUCGUAGUCCGGAUUGGAGUCUGCAACUCGACUCCAUGAAGUCGGAAUCGCUAGUAAUCGUGGAUCAGAAUGCCACGGUGAAUACGUUCCCGGGCCUU
This 458-nucleotide ribosomal RNA is filed under the name uncultured Enterobacteriaceae bacterium. Its description in RNAcentral is "bacterial SSU rRNA". It matches the Rfam family "Bacterial small subunit ribosomal RNA", at positions 925 to 1382 of the family's 1533-position model. Lineage: Bacteria; Pseudomonadati; Pseudomonadota; Gammaproteobacteria; Enterobacterales; Enterobacteriaceae. The record is from RNAcentral.